GAUGAAGAACGUAGCGAAAUGCGAUAAGUAAUGUGAAUUGCAGAAUUCAGUGAAUCAUCGAAUCUUUGAACGCACAUUGCGCCCGCCAGUAUUCUGGCGGGCAUGCCUGUCUGAGCGUCAUUUCAACCCUCAUGUCCCUAGGGCGUGGUGUUGGGGAUCGGCCAAAGCCCGCGAGGGACGGCCGGCCCCUAAAUCUAGUGGCGGACCCGUCGUGGCCUCCUCUGCGAAGUAGUGAUAUUCCGCAUCGGAGAGCGACGAGCCCCUGCCGUUAAACCCCCAACUUUCCAAGGUUGACCUCAGAUCAGGUAGGAAUACCCGCUGAACUUAAGCAUAUCAAUAAGCGGAGGA
RNAcentral lists this unclassified non-coding RNA (348 nucleotides) under soil metagenome. RNAcentral's name for it is "partial contains 5.8S ribosomal RNA, internal transcribed spacer 2, and large subunit ribosomal RNA". The stretch from base 1 to 120 matches the Rfam family "5.8S ribosomal RNA", at positions 35 to 154 of the family's 154-position model. The record is from RNAcentral.